This 483-nucleotide ribosomal RNA is filed under the name uncultured bacterium. Its description in RNAcentral is "partial 16S ribosomal RNA". It matches the Rfam family "Bacterial small subunit ribosomal RNA", at positions 28 to 507 of the family's 1533-position model. The record is from RNAcentral.
GACGAACGCUGGCGGCGUGCUUAACACAUGCAAGUCGAACGCUGAAGCUCAGCUUUUGUUGGGUGGAUGAGUGGCGAACGGGUGAGUAACACGUGAGUAACCUGCCCCCUUCUUUGGGAUAACGCCCGGAAACGGGUGCUAAUACUGGAUAUUCACUGGUCUUCGCAUGGGGGUUGGUGGAAAGGGUUUUUCUGGUGGGGGAUGGGCUCGCGGCCUAUCAGCUUGUUGGUGGGGUGAUGGCCUACCAAGGCUUUGACGGGUAGCCGGCCUGAGAGGGUGACCGGUCACAUUGGGACUGAGAUACGGCCCAGACUCCCACGGGAGGCAGAAGUGGGGAAUAUUGCACAAUGGGCGCAAGCCUGAUGCAGCGACGCCGCGUGAGGGAUGGAGGCCUUCGGGUUGUGAACCUCUUUCGCUCAUGGUCAAGCCGCAACAAUGGUUGUGGUGAGGGUAGUGGGUAAAGAAGCGCCGGCUAACUACGUG